Long non-coding RNA from Zingiber officinale, 1044 nucleotides. RefSeq lists it as uncharacterized. NCBI's taxonomy places the organism in Eukaryota, Viridiplantae, Streptophyta, Magnoliopsida, Zingiberales, Zingiberaceae. The record is from RefSeq and is a predicted model, not a curated record. The transcript has 2 exons.
AACCCCUUUUCUUUCCCCAAUCCCGAACCUCUCCUCACGCCGUUCUCUUCUCUUCUCCCUCACUUGCCGAUUUCCCUUCUCUACGCGAAGCCAGGUCACCGCCGACCGCCUCAAGUUGACCACCGCUGAUCGACGCUGUGCUACUCGUCGCUGGUGAAGCUCCACAGCAUCGGUCAACAUCGCAACUUCUAGGGCGGCCAAUCAUUGUGCCCUAGCUGCAGUCGCCUCGUGCCCUAGACGUGGGCGUUCACUCGUGCGAGCCCCGAUCAUCUUCUCUUCACCGACAUCGCAACCCUCCUUUCUCUCGAACUUGUGGGUGUCGAUCGCUCCUCAUCAUCAGAUCUUGGACCAGGGAGGUCCAAUGCCAUCUCCUUCCACCGGAGCAUUUUCUACCCUUCUCGGAGCCCUACCCUAGUCUGGGUCAGCACCACGUUGUCCUAUAUCGACGGUGUCACCCUUCCUUUUGCCUUUACUCAUGAUUCCAGCAGCAACUUCUUCAGCCAGGUGUCUACAAAGGUGUCACUGGAAUUGGGGGUGUUGGAUUGCAAAUCCUUAGCUUUGGCGACCCCUGUGGUGUGGAGGAUUGCUGCUCGGAUUCACCACUAGAUAGGUCACCUAUUCUAGCAGAGGACAACAACUCUUGUUUUUCACAGUUGCGUUUGGAGGGGAAGUUGCUGUAGAUCUAGUUUGGGGUAGCAGGUAAAGGAUUUAUGGAGUCACCUGAGAUCCUGUCCGCUAGUCCCGUGUCACACCGAGCUACUCCUACCGUUAGUGUUUCCGUUCGCAUAUUUGGUUUUGCACUUGUUCUCGUAUUUGUAUAUUUUAUAUGGAGUUUGUCUUGUAUUUGAUGUGUCGUUUAUGUGUCAAGCCGGGUCGGCUCACAGUUAGUUGUUCUGUUGUUUUAUGUUCCUUAUGUUGUGAUUUCCGCUUUGUUAUGUUUCAGCCAUGUGGGUUGCAUAUUAAAAUCUGCGUGGUUGUGUUAUUUGUUCAGCAUGUGGGCUGUUAUAUACUAUUAAUGAGUAUGUCUGUGGUUAUAUGCAUUUA